This 873-nucleotide ribosomal RNA is filed under the name Geastrum aff. lageniforme MA-Fungi 83769. RNAcentral describes it as "eukaryotic LSU rRNA". It matches the Rfam family "Eukaryotic large subunit ribosomal RNA", at positions 1 to 855 of the family's 3401-position model. The record is from RNAcentral. Lineage: Eukaryota; Fungi; Basidiomycota; Agaricomycetes; Geastrales; Geastraceae.
UUUGACCUCAGAUCAGGUAGGACUACCCGCUGAACUUAAGCAUAUCAAUAAGCGGAGGAAAAGAAACUAACAAGGAUUCCCCUAGUAACGGCGAGUGAAGAGGGAAGAGCUCAAAUUUGAAAUCUGGCGGCCUACGGUCGUCCGAGUUGUAAUCUAGAGAAGUGUUUUCCUUACUGGACCGUGUACAAGUCCUUUGGAACAAGGCGUCAUAGAGGGUGAGAAUCCCGUCUACGACACGGACUCCCAGUAUCUUGUGAUACACUCUCAACGAGUCGAGUUGUUUGGGAAUGCAGCUCAAAAUGGGUGGUAAAUUCCAUCUAAAGCUAAAUAUGGGCGAAAGACCGAUAGCGAACAAGUACCGUGAGGGAAAGAUGAAAAGCACUUUGGAAAGAGAGUUAAACAGUACGUGAAAUUGUUGAAAGGGAAACGCUUGAAGUCAGUCGCGUCUUCAGAAACUCAGCUUGGCUUCUGCCUGGUGUACUUUUCUGUUUGACGGGCCAGCAUCAGUUUCGGCCGCCAGAAAAAGGUGGGAGGAAGGUGGCACCUCACGGUGUGUUAUAGCCUCUCAUCGUAUGUGGCGGCGGGGACUGAGGACCGCAGCACGCCUGUAUGGCCGGGGUUCGCCCACGUAACGUGCUUAGGAUGCUGGCGUAAUGGCUUUAAACGACCCGUCUUGAAACACGGACCAAGGAGUCUAACAUGCCUGCGAGUAUUUGGGUGGCAAACCCAUAUGCGGAAUGAAAGUGAACAGUUGGGACUUCUGUCAUGGAAGGCACCGACGCCCGGACCAGACCUAUUGUGACGGAUCCGAGGUAGAGCAUGUAUSUUGGGACCCGAAAGAUGGUGAACUAUGCCUGAGUAGGGUGAAGCCAG